GGCGGACGGGUUAGUAACGCGUGGGAACGUACCCUUCUCUACGGAAUAGCCUCGGGAAACUGAGAGUAAUACCGUAUACGCCCUUCGGGGGAAAGAUUUAUCGGAGAAGGGUCGGCCCGCGUAAGAUUAGAUAGUUGGUGGGGUAAUGGCCUACCAAGUCUACGAUCUUUAGCUGGUUUGAGAGGAUGAUCAGCAACACUGGGACUGAGACACGGCCCAGACUCCUACGGGAGGCAGCAGUGGGGAAUCUUAGACAAUGGGGGAAACCCUGAUCUAGCCAUGCCGCGUGAGUGACGAAGGCCUUAGGGUCGUAAAGCUCUUUCGCUGGGGAAGAUAAUGACUGUACCCAGUAAAGAAACCCCGGCUGACUCCGUGCCAGCAGCCGCGGUAAUACGGAGGGGGUUAGCGUUGUUCGGAAUUACUGGGCGUAGAGCGCGC
This 438-nucleotide ribosomal RNA is filed under the name uncultured Paracoccaceae bacterium. RNAcentral's name for it is "bacterial SSU rRNA". It matches the Rfam family "Bacterial small subunit ribosomal RNA", at positions 97 to 570 of the family's 1533-position model. The record is from RNAcentral. Lineage: Bacteria; Pseudomonadati; Pseudomonadota; Alphaproteobacteria; Rhodobacterales; Paracoccaceae.